Molecule: non-coding RNA, 1234 nt
Organism: Styela clava
Lineage: Eukaryota; Metazoa; Chordata; Ascidiacea; Stolidobranchia; Styelidae
Source: RefSeq, a predicted model, not a curated record
CCAAAAGUAUGAAGCGGGUCCACGAAAAGGUAUAUUCAACCAGAAACCAAAGGACCCCCAAAUGGCGAAAUAUGCAGUAAACGAACUGAAAGUUUAUUUCAAAGGUGUCACUCCAUUAAAUAUCCACCAGAUACUUGGAACCAACAACGAAAAAUCUCCGGCCCUCAAACACCGCCACCUAAUAGCCAUUAAACACUUCUGCAAUUGGACGCUGUUUAAUGGCUAUACAGUAGCUGGUGUCGAUUUCAAGAAGAUCCUUGAUGGGAUAGCUUUGGCUUCCGCGUCUGCUAGCAGACAGAAGAAGCAGAUAAAUACGCUAAAGAACGUGACAGACCAGGCACAGAUGGAGUAACUAUUGGGACCUGUCAUUGAUGGUCCGAAAUAUAAAGAGGCGAUGAAAGAGCUCGACGUACAACCGGUCUCGGAAAAAACAUACAACAAAUGCCUUGGCCUGUUUGUAGCUUGCCAUAUCCUCGAACGCGGCGGGAGAGUUGGCUACUUUUCCUGUAUGAAGGUUGGCGAGCUCAAACAGGCCAGGGAAUAUGAAGACCAAAGAUUGUUACAAAUUAUAGUGGAAGAGCAAAAAAUUAGAGACGAAGUAGGUUUUCUCACAAUGUCACGAGAAGACUACGAAAUGUUUUUAAAGCUGGUCAACAUGUUUCAAAAUAUCAAAGACAGAGACGAUAAAGAGUACGCAUUAGGCACCCCUUCCAAGAAACAAAUGCGGGUCGACAAGUGCGUCAGAUCCGCACUGGCAAAAGUAUUCGGCGAAAGUAUCAGUAUUACUUUAAUGAGAAAAAUGACCGAAACCCUGGCCUCAAGUAUGCCUGAAUCUCAGCAGAGAGAUGUGGCCAGGGCAUUGGGCCAUUCAGUAGAAAUAGCUCGUAAAAACUAUUAUAUACUGCACAAGGGGCACACAGCUCUGCGUGGUUCAGAAAUAAUAGCUCAAAACUUGAAGGCAGAGAAAACAAAAUUAUCGGAAAAAACAAUCUGACCCCUCUGAUAUACCAUCGACCUCCGGAAUUUACGGACCCUCCAAAACACAAUCUGACUCUUGACUCCGAAACACCUGAAGACACAUCGGACCUACCAUCAACCUCCUCAAAAUACCAAACGCCGAGAAAAAGAAAAUCUCGUUCGGAUCGAGAUUCUCCGAGGACAAAAGCAAUUAAAACUACAGUUCCUCGCAAGAGAAUAAUAUCUCAAUCUGAUAGGCUGUGGUUGUAUUACCACG